RNAcentral lists this ribosomal RNA (253 nucleotides) under uncultured Rikenellaceae bacterium. Its description in RNAcentral is "partial 16S ribosomal RNA". It matches the Rfam family "Bacterial small subunit ribosomal RNA", at positions 524 to 776 of the family's 1533-position model. Lineage: Bacteria; Pseudomonadati; Bacteroidota; Bacteroidia; Bacteroidales; Rikenellaceae. The record is from RNAcentral.
UACGGAGGAUGCGAGCGUUAUCCGGAUUUAUUGGGUUUAAAGGGUGCGUAGGCGGCAGAUUAAGUUAGAGGUGAAAUUCCGAGGCUCAACCUUGGCACUGCCUCUGAUACUGGUUUGCUAGCGAGUAGAUGCUGUAGGCGGAAUGUGUGGUGUAGCGGUGAAAUGCAUAGAUAUCGCGCAGAACUCCGAUUGCGAAGGCAGCAUGCCGGCUCCACACUGACGCUGAGGCACGAAAGCGUGGGUAUCGAACAGG